UGGGGAAUAUUGCACAAUGGAGGAAACUCUGAUGCAGCAACGCCGCGUGGAGGAUGACGCAUUUCGGUGUGUAAACUCCUUUUAUAUAGGAAGAUAAUGACGGUACUAUAUGAAUAAGCACCGGCUAACUCCGUGCCAGCAGCCGCGGUAAUACGGAGGGUGCAAGCGUUACUCGGAAUCACUGGGCGUAAAGCGCGCGCAGGCGGCUUUGUAAGUUGGAUGUGAAAUCCUAUGGCUCAACCAUAGAACUGCAUCCAAAACUACUUAGCUAGAGUCUGGGAGGGGAAGAUGGAAUUAGUGGUGUAGGGGUAAAAUCCGUAGAGAUCACUAGGAAUACCAAAAGCGAAGGCGAUCUUCUGGAACAGUACUGACGCUGAGGCGCGAAAGCGUGGGGAGCAAACAG
RNAcentral lists this ribosomal RNA (403 nucleotides) under uncultured bacterium. Its description in RNAcentral is "bacterial SSU rRNA". It matches the Rfam family "Bacterial small subunit ribosomal RNA", at positions 355 to 775 of the family's 1533-position model. The record is from RNAcentral.